CGCGGAGUGGAGCAGUAUGGCAGCUCGUCGGGCUCAUAACCCGGAGGUCAGAGGUUCAAAUCCUUUCUCCGCAA
This 74-nucleotide transfer RNA is filed under the name Candidatus Epulonipiscium sp. RNAcentral's name for it is "tRNA-Met". It matches the Rfam family "tRNA". Rfam says of the family: Transfer RNA (tRNA) molecules are approximately 80 nucleotides in length. Their secondary structure includes four short double-helical elements and three loops (D, anti-codon, and T loops). The record is from RNAcentral. Lineage: Bacteria; Bacillati; Bacillota; Clostridia; Lachnospirales; Lachnospiraceae.